Molecule: ribosomal RNA, 446 nt
Filed under: uncultured bacterium
Lineage: Bacteria
Description: partial 16S ribosomal RNA
Rfam family: Bacterial small subunit ribosomal RNA
Source: RNAcentral
CCUACGGGAGGCUGCAGUCGAGAAUCAUUCACAAUGGGGGAAACCCUGAUGGUGCGACGCCGCGUGGGGGAAUGAAGGUCUUCGGAUUGUAAACCCCUGUCAUGUGGGAGCAAAUUAAAAAGAUAGUACCACAAGAGGAAGAGACGGCUAACUCUGUGCCAGCAGCCGCGGUAAUACAGAGGUCUCAAGCGUUGUUCGGAAUCACUGGGCGUAAGGCGUGCGUAGGCUGUUUCGUAAGUCGUGUGUGAAAGGCGCGGGCUCAACCCGCGGACGGCACAUGAUACUGCGAGACUAGAGUAAUGGAGGGGGAACCGGAAUUCUCGGUGUAGCAGUGAAAUGCGUAGAUAUCGAGAGGAACACUCGUGGCGAAGGUGGGUUCCUGGACAUUAACUGACGCUGAGGCACGAAGGCCAGGGGAGCGAAAGGGAUUAGAUACCCUGGUAGUC